UACGAAGGGGGCUAGCGUUGCUCGGAAUUACUGGGCGUAAAGGGCGCGUAGGCGGAUAGUUUAGUCAGAGGUGAAAGCCCAGGGCUCAACCUUGGAACUGCCUUUGAUACUGGCUAUCUUGAGUUCGGGAGAGGUGAGUGGAAUGCCGAGUGUAGAGGUGAAAUUCGUAGAUAUUCGGAAGAACACCAGUGGCGAAGGCGACUUACUGGACACAUAUUGACGCUGAGGUGCGAAAGCGUGGGGAGCAAACAGG
This 253-nucleotide ribosomal RNA is filed under the name uncultured bacterium. RNAcentral's name for it is "partial 16S ribosomal RNA". It matches the Rfam family "Bacterial small subunit ribosomal RNA", at positions 524 to 776 of the family's 1533-position model. The record is from RNAcentral.